This 2461-nucleotide ribosomal RNA is filed under the name human gut metagenome. RNAcentral's name for it is "bacterial LSU rRNA". It matches the Rfam family "Bacterial large subunit ribosomal RNA", at positions 14 to 2497 of the family's 2925-position model. The record is from RNAcentral.
AGGGCGCAUGGCGGAUGCCUUGGCUCUCGGAGGCGAUGAAGGACGUGAUAAGCUGCGAUAAGCUCCGGGGAGGUGCAAAUAACCUUUGAUCCGGGGAUUUCCGAAUGGGACAACCCGGCGUGUUGAAGACACGCCACCUGAUCAUUUCAGGAGCUAACGCAGGGAACUGAAACAUCUUAGUACCUGCAGGAAAAGAAAAUAACAAUGAUUCCCCCAGUAGUGGCGAGCGAACGGGGAAUAGCCCAAACCGUUCAUGUUACGGCAUGAUCGGGGUUGUAGGACUACGUCGUUGCAUGAAGACAUCGGAGAAGAACUUUCUGGAAAGAAAGACCAUAGAGCAUGACAGUUGCGUAUUCGAAUGUUGUCGAAGCAUAGUAGUAUCCUGAGUAGCGCGGAGCACGAGGAAUUCUGCGUGAAUCUGCCGGGACCAUCCGGUAAGGCUAAAUACUCCCGAGAGACCGAUAGCGAACCAGUACUGUGAAGGAAAGGUGAAAAGCACUUCGAAUAGAAGAGUGAAAUAGUCCCUGAAACCGUGCGCCUACAAGCGGUCGGAGCAGCGUAAGCUGUGACGGCGUGCCUUUUGCAUAAUGAACCUACGAGUUACUUUUUCCGGCAAGGUUAAGCAUUUCAAAAUGUGUAGCCGAAGCGAAAGCGAGUCUGAACAGGGCGAUUAGUCGGAAGGAGUAGACGCGAAACCAAGUGAUCUACCCUUGGUCAGGUUGAAGGUUAGGUAACACUAACUGGAGGACCGAACCGAUAAGCGUUGAAAAGCUUCCGGAUGAACUGAGGGUGGGGGUGAAAGGCUAAUCAAACUUGGAGAUAGCUCGUACUCCCCGAAAUGCAUUUAGGUGCAGCCUCGCGGGUUACUGAUGUGAGGUAGAGCGACUGAUUGGAUGCGAGGGCUUCACCGCCUAUCAAGUCCUGACAAACUCCGAAUGCGCAUCAGUUUUACCGCGGGAGUGAGGGCAUGGGUGCUAAGGUCCGUGCCCGAGAGGAGAAGAAUCCGGACUAUCAGCUAAGGCCCCGAAAUGACAGCUAAGUUAAACUAACGAAGUCUGAUUGCUAAGACAGCUAGGAUGUUGGCUUGGAAGCAGCCAUUCAUUUAAAGAGUGCGUAACAGCUCACUAGUCGAGGAAUCGGGCGUGGAUAAUAAUCGGGUAUGAAGUUGUCUGCCGAAGCUAUAGAAUCAGCAAUGAUUGGUAGGGGAGCAUUCCAUUCGGCGUUGAAGGCGUGGCGUGAGCCAUUCUGGAGCGUAUGGAAAAGCAAAUGUAGGUAUAAGUAACGAUAAAGGGGGUGGGAAACCCCCUCGCCGAAAGACUAAGGUUUCCUGAUCAACGCUAAUCGGAUCAGGGUAAGUCGGGUCCUAAGGUUCAGCCGAACGGCGAGACCGAUGGCAGAAACGGUUAAUAUUCCGUUACUACCUUUGAGGGUGACGUGGGGACGCAGGAGUGACACCGCCGCCGGCUGACGGAAUAGCCGGUUAAAGAGUGUAGACGCCGAUUUCCGCAGGCAAAUCCACGGAAAGAGUCGAACUUGACAGUAUGGAACGUCCUUCGGGACAAUCCAAUAGUGCGGGUAAGCAGACUGCCGAGAAAAUCCGCUAAACAUAACUUCAGAGGUACCCGUACCGCAAACGGACACACGUAGUCGGGUUGAAUAUACUAAGGCGCUUGAGUGAUUCACGGUUAAGGAACUAGGCAAACUGACCCUGUAACUUCGGGAUAAAGGGUCCCUACCCAGAAAUGGGAGGGCGCAGAGAAUAGGUCCAGGCAACUGUUUAACAAAAACACAGGGCUGUGCAAAAUUUCAAGAUGAAGUAUACAGCCUGACACCUGCCCGGUGCCGGAAGGUUAAGAGGAGAGCUAAUCGCAAGAGAAGGCUUGAAUUGAAGCCCCGGUAAACGGCGGCCGUAACUAUAACGGUCCUAAGGUAGCGAAAUUCCUUGUCGGGUAAGUUCCGACCUGCACGAAUGGUGUAAUGAUCUGGACACUGUCUCAACCGUGAGCUCGGUGAAAUUGUAGUAUCGGUGAAGAUGCCGAUUACCCGCGAUGGGACGAAAAGACCCCGUGAACCUUUACUAUAGCUUAACAUUGAAUUUGGGUAAUUGAUGUGUAGGAUAGGCCGGAGGCUUUGAAGCGGGCACGCCAGUGUUCGUGGAGCCGCUGUUGAAAUACGGCCCUUUGAUUAUUUGAGUUCUAACCCGCUGUUGCGGGGACACUGUUUGGUGGGUAGUUUGACUGGGGUGGUCGCCUCCAAAAGCGUAACGGAGGCUUCUAAAGGUGCCCUCAGACCGAUUGGUAACCGGUCGCAGAGUGUAAUGGCAUAAGGGCGCUUGACUGGGAGAGAUACAACUCGAUCAGGUAGGAAACUAGAGCAUAGUGAUCCGGUGGUUCCGCAUGGAAGGGCCAUCGCUCAAAGGAUAAAAGGUACUCCGGGGAUAACAGGCUGAUCCCUCCCAAGA